GCCUCUGUAGUCUAGCGGUAAGAUGUCUCUGCCAUUUGGUAGCUCAAAGUUCCCAAUAUUUCUGGAGAAGUCGAGGAUUUGAAUCCCCCCGGAGGCC
Mycena capillaripes is the source of this 97-nucleotide non-coding RNA. Lineage: Eukaryota; Fungi; Basidiomycota; Agaricomycetes; Agaricales; Mycenaceae. The record is from the annotation of a GenBank genome assembly.